Molecule: unclassified non-coding RNA, 349 nt
Filed under: soil metagenome
Description: partial contains 5.8S ribosomal RNA, internal transcribed spacer 2, and large subunit ribosomal RNA
Rfam family: 5.8S ribosomal RNA (bases 1-120)
Source: RNAcentral
GAUGAAGAACGCAGCGAAAUGCGAUAAGUAAUGUGAAUUGCAGAAUUCAGUGAAUCAUCGAAUCUUUGAACGCACAUUGCGCCCCCUGGUAUUCCGGGGGGCAUGUCUGUUCGAGCGUCAUUUCAACCCUCAAGCUCUGCUUGGUAUUGGGCGUCGCCGGGGAGUCUCCCCGGCGUGCCUCAAAGCCAUCGGCGGUGGUGCCUUUCUCUAAGCGUGGUAGAAUUUUUAUUCGCUUCUGAGUUGGGCUUCGCCUGCCGGACAAACCGGGCCCUCGCGGCCCACCUUCUCAGGUUGACCUCGGAUCAGGUAGGGAUACCCGCUGAACUUAAGCAUAUCAAUAAGCGGAGGA